UACGUAGGUGGCAAGCGUUGUCCGGAUUUAUUGGGUUUAAAGGGUGCGUAGGCGGUCUUUUAAGUCAGUGCUGAAAUACUCCAGCUUAACUGGAGGGGUGGCAUUGAUACUGGAAGACUUGAGUGUAGUCGAGGUAGGCGGAAUUGACGGUGUAGCGGUGAAAUGCUUAGAUAUCGUCAAGAACACCGAUAGUGAAGACAGCUUACUAGGCUACAACUGACGCUGAGGCACGAAAGUGUGGGGAUCAAACAGG
This 253-nucleotide ribosomal RNA is filed under the name uncultured bacterium. RNAcentral's name for it is "partial 16S ribosomal RNA". It matches the Rfam family "Bacterial small subunit ribosomal RNA", at positions 524 to 776 of the family's 1533-position model. The record is from RNAcentral.